RNAcentral lists this ribosomal RNA (466 nucleotides) under uncultured bacterium. Its description in RNAcentral is "partial 16S ribosomal RNA". It matches the Rfam family "Bacterial small subunit ribosomal RNA", at positions 28 to 506 of the family's 1533-position model. The record is from RNAcentral.
GAUGAACGCUGGCGGCGUGCUUAACACAUGCAAGUCGAACGGAAAGGCCCAAGCUUGCUUGGGUACUCGAGUGGCGAACGGGUGAGUAACACGUGGGUGAUCUGCCCUGCACUUCGGGAUAAGCCUGGGAAACUGGGUCUAAUACCGGAUAGGACCACUUCUUGGAUGUUGUGGUGGAAAGUUUUUUCGGUGUGGGAUGAGCUCGCGGCCUAUCAGCUUGUUGGUGGGGUAAUGGCCUACCAAGGCGUCGACGGGUAGCCGGCCUGAGAGGGUGUACGGCCACAUUGGGACUGAGAUACGGCCCAGACUCCUACGGGAGGCAGCAGUGGGGAAUAUUGCACAAUGGGCGCAAGCCUGAUGCAGCGACGCCGCGUGGGGGAUGACGGCCUUCGGGUUGUAAACUCCUUUCGCUAGGGACGAAGCGUUUUGUGACGGUACCUGGGGAAGAAGCACCGGCUAACUACGU